GGGUCACUAGCUCAGUCGGCAGAGCACCGGACUUUUAAUCCGGUUGUCCCGGGUUCGAACCCCGGGUGGCUCA
RNAcentral lists this transfer RNA (73 nucleotides) under Clostridiales bacterium. Its description in RNAcentral is "tRNA-Lys". It matches the Rfam family "tRNA". Rfam says of the family: Transfer RNA (tRNA) molecules are approximately 80 nucleotides in length. Their secondary structure includes four short double-helical elements and three loops (D, anti-codon, and T loops). Further hydrogen bonds mediate the characteristic L-shaped molecular structure. tRNAs have two regions of fundamental functional importance: the anti-codon, which is responsible for specific mRNA codon recognition, and the 3' end, to which the tRNAs corresponding amino acid is attached (by aminoacyl-tRNA synthetases). tRNAs cope with the degeneracy of the genetic code in two manners: having more than one tRNA (with a specific anti-codon) for a particular amino acid; and 'wobble' base-pairing, i.e. permitting non-standard base-pairing at the 3rd anti-codon position. The record is from RNAcentral. Lineage: Bacteria; Bacillati; Bacillota; Clostridia; Eubacteriales.